AGCAGCCGCGGUAAUUCCAGCUCCAAUAGCGUAUAUUAAAGUUGUUGCAGUUAAAAAGCUCGUAGUUGAAUUUCGGGAUCAAUGUUUCGGUCAUGCCCCUGGUAUGUACUGAUAUUAUUGGUUUCUCACCUUCUAAAGAACCGUAACGCCAUUAAUUUGGUGUCACGGGGAAUUAGGACUGUUACCUUGAAAAAAUUAGAGUGUUUAAAGCAGGCUCACGCUUGAAUACAUUAGCAUGGAAUAAUGAAAUAGGACAUCCGAUUCUAUUUUGUUGGUUUCUAGGAUCGAUGUAAUGAUUAAUAGGGAUAGUUGGGGGCAUUAGUAUUCAAUUGUCAGAGGUGAAAUUCUUGGAUUUAUUGAAGACUAACUACUGCGAAAGCAUUUGCCAAGGAUGUUUUCAUUAAUCAAGAACGAAAGUUAGGGGAUCGAAGACGAUCAGAUACCGUCGUAGUCUUAACCAUAAACUAUGCCGACUAGGGAUCGGAUGAUGUUAAUUUUUUAAUGACUCA
This 509-nucleotide ribosomal RNA is filed under the name uncultured glomeraceous AM fungus. RNAcentral describes it as "SSU rRNA". It matches the Rfam family "Eukaryotic small subunit ribosomal RNA", at positions 569 to 1078 of the family's 1831-position model. Lineage: Eukaryota; Fungi; Glomeromycota; Glomeromycetes; Glomerales; Glomeraceae. The record is from RNAcentral.